GCCUCACCCAAGAGCGUGUUCAGAACCCCUGGGGCUGGGCUUGUACUGAGAGUACCUUUGGCCCUGUCCACACAGACCUAGUUAGCAUCCAAAGCCAGAGUGACACAGGGCUAGAUGCCCCUGAAAUGUGGAUUGAUGUCCCCCCACACCAGCCCUCCUUGGGUGGAGCUGAUGGAGAAGAAUCAUCCCAGCAUUGUUUAGGCAGUCAAUGGAGGAGCCACAGGACAGAGGGCCAUGGCUGCGUUUGUGUGCAUGGACCAAGUGGACCAGGAAGAUGUUGCCACAGUUUGGCUGGUUCCCCUCUCUUCAAUUUUGGAAUGAGGAAGACAAUAAUGGUAGAAGUCGAGGUGGAAAUAGUGGAGGAAGUAGCCUAUGAGGACACAGAGACACUUGAAGUAAUAUCAGAAGGAGUCUAUCCAAAUUAUUUGAUGGAAACCAUAUUGCUGCACGAUGACCAGCUUUUCGCCACCUAAACAUGCAUUCCUUCAAAAGUUGUUUGCAAGUGAACUUUCUGUGUUUUUAAAUGUCAGCCUUGUAUUUUAAAUGUAUUUUACAUUUAUUUAAAUGUAGUUUAAAUAUUAAAAUGUAUUUUAAAUACCAUUUAAAGGCCUUUUUUAUGUCAGUGUUAUGGGAGGUUCAUUAAUUACAUUUUUUUUUACCCAAUAAAAUAAGAAAACCUUUGCUUGUUGUCUUGAUUUGAUCUUCUAAUGAAGAUAUAGUAUAUGUAACUUCCAAGACCUUCUGACAGUCUACACUUGCUUUGUCCAUCCAGUGCUCCAGUACUCUGCUCAAGUAUGGCAAGUCUCACAGCCCACCAAGUUGAAAAAAUCUAACGACAUGCUACCAAAAUCAUCAUGGGCACCACCUACACCUACUC
This is a long non-coding RNA of Oncorhynchus nerka (sockeye salmon), 877 nucleotides long. RefSeq lists it as uncharacterized. The transcript is spliced from 3 exons. NCBI's taxonomy places the organism in Eukaryota, Metazoa, Chordata, Actinopteri, Salmoniformes, Salmonidae. The record is from RefSeq and is a predicted model, not a curated record.